CCAAAUUGCUCCAAAAUUCUCUCUCCUCACCGGAAUUUAGAGAAUUUCUCUCUUUUUGCUUCCUUUUUUUUCUUUAAGUUAACAAAUUUAUAGAAAAUAAUUAAAAAAAAUCGCAACAAAUAUUAAUGGAAAAAAAAAAACUAAAACCAAAUUGUUAAUGGUGGCACAAACAUUAAAAAAGAAAAGAAAAAAUAACCUGCCGCAAACUUUGAUAACCCUAAACAAUAUUCUUUCCCCAUUUUUAUUCCUCUCCACCAGCCGUGUCGUACAGAUGCAGAAAAAGGUUUGUUCUUCAACAUCUUCAAUUCUUUUUUUGGUUUCCUUCUCUCAUAUUAUACAAUUUGAUAGAAUAAUAACCAUAAGCUUAUGGGGAUAGGUUUCUUCUUCCACGGAUAUUCCUUCUUCCCCGUAAUGUUCUUAUUUUCUCUCAAUCUCUCAAACCCCUGCAUCCUUAAUUUGAUUCACGUUUUUUUUGUUAUGUCGCCAUACAUAAGAAGCAAAGGUGAAACUGAUGCUGUCCACGCUGACGAUAAUCUAUUAGACCAUUCUGCUGAAGGCAUUGGUCUUGGUUCGUUUUCUUUUAACACACUUAUAUUAAGUAGGGUUUAUAUUUUUCCUGUCCAUUCCUGUUAAGGUGUACUUAAUUAUUAACCAUUAACAACUUCGCUCAGGUAAUGCACAUAUAUUAAUUAGGGUUUACUUUUUUUUUUGAGUUCUUAAGUAUGGGGUUGUAUGAGUUUUAGUGAAUCUUCAUAUUAUUGCACACUUGAUGUUUGUAAAAAGGACUGAAUGAAUGAUCUUUUAAAGUUUUUUUUUGUAUGAUCAUUCUGAUUUUACAGGUGAUGAUACAUGUAUCUGCAAAAAAAAAAAAGAAAAAAAAAAACACUAGAGAAAGCCAACAAUUGAAACACAUACUACUUAAAGCGGCAUGAACUCUUUUUGUGCACAAUUAAUUAAUAAUAGUGUGCCAAUUCCUCUUAAGUAUUUUUAUUUAUUUAUUUAUUUUUAUUUUUUGAUUUACUGAGUACAAAUUGAUGCAUUCUAAAAAAAAUCUAAAUUUCAACCCAAGUUAGCAACUUCUCUAUAUUAAUAAUGCUUGCAGAUUUAUUCCCUUUUUGUUCUAAAUUAAUGUAAUUGUUGACAUUUUGGUGUCACGGAAUAUGUUGCAAUCUGUAGGGCUGCUAGGAUCAUUACAGGAUACAACAUAACCACCACAAAGCCAAUUGCAAAGCCAACAUUUAGGGAGAGGCUAGAGUUAAUUUGGAUGAAUUAGAAAAACCUACUCAGGUAUUUACUCUCCUAUGGAUGUUAGUGGUUCGAUAUGGACUUACUACAUAAUAGCUUCUCACAUUUGGUGAAGUUGUUGUGUUAUUGGCAAUGGUAUUAAUGACGCUCCAGUGCUUACAUAAUGAUGGAGGACAUGGUACUGUCUUACAUAAUGUUAUGGCUCGAGGUAUGCUUAGUUAGUAUUUCUACACUCUUCAUGCAGUUUUAGGUAAUAUUCCUUGCUCGCAUAAUUUUUGCCAAACAGAAACUGUGAAGAUCUUAAUUCAAAUUUUCUAUUUCGGUUCCUAUAUAUAAAGAUAUAUACUGCAUGCUGUUAUACCCAGAAAUCGUAUCCAAAAUUUCGACCUACUAAUCUAUCGUAGCGCCUUCUUUAAAUGGAACAUGAGAUACAAAGUCUGGAAAGCCAUUCCAAGACAAAAGUUUUCCUUGAUUACCUUCGACGAAUCGCACUCUAAACAUUUUCUAUCGUUUUUUAAUUGUAAAUGUUUUCGACAAAUAUUAAAACACCCAGUAUUGCACUGACUAUUUUUUUCCUUUGUAGAUGUAUUUGAGGUGCUUGGGGUGUUGAGAUGCAUAACGAACUGUUUUUUUCUUUUGUUUGCUUAUAAUUUUUUGUUUUUUGUUUUUCCAGUAUAGCAGGGAGUGGUGAUGUCUACAUUAAUGGUAUGAUGUUUAUACUGCAUGUGCAUGAUAGUAUACUGACGGCUAAGGUACAGAGAUUGCAAUUUACUGGGCAUGGAAAUUACAUUUUUGUUUUACCCGCUCCACAUUAAUCUUUCCUAAUUGUGCAAAAGAAGUUCUUAGUGUGAUUCCAGUAUCCCAUAUCAGUGUUCAGGAUUUCGAGCGGAAUAUGUUGAACCUAUCUUCCAUAAAAAAUGGAGAAGUUCAGCCAAUGCGAGCUCAAAUUGAUGAGCUGAGCAUGCUGUUCUAAAAUGUGAAUGAUGAUGUACUUCUUUAACCGUCCUAAACGCUAUGUAGGAUAAGAUCAUAAGAAUGAUAUGUAGUCUAAUCAUCUUAAACACAUAUUGUGGAUAUACACCUCCUCCAUAUACAACGGAUCGAUAUUCGACUCGAUGCCGUAUCAAUUUGUACAUAUUUAGAUUAGCUUCUUCAAUGGAGUUGGAAUGAUGAGUAGCCUCAAGGCUAAUGCAAAAGCUGAAUUCAGUCACAUUUGGGUUGUAUAUUUGGACUAUAUGACUGACCUGAUAUUUAAACGUGACUUGAAAUACUUUUAUUUUGUGAUUA
Long non-coding RNA from Papaver somniferum (opium poppy), 2532 nucleotides. RefSeq lists it as uncharacterized. NCBI's taxonomy places the organism in Eukaryota, Viridiplantae, Streptophyta, Magnoliopsida, Ranunculales, Papaveraceae. The record is from RefSeq and is a predicted model, not a curated record. The transcript has 2 exons.